UAAGUCAGAACCGUGCUAGAAACGAUGAUGUUGGUCCCGCACAUAUUAGCUGUGUUAAAAUAGAGCUUUGCUCGUGAACCAAAUCAGACAGACGUGGAUGCUGCAGUGGAAAUCUGUGGUGUCUAGUUUGUGAAUUGUAAUUACCAUAUGGGCGGGGGUGAAUCCUUUGCAGACGACUUGAAUGGGAACGGGGUACUGUAAGCAGUAGAGUAGCCUUGUUGCUACGAUCUGCUGAGGUUAAGCCCUUGUUCUAAAGAUUGU
Molecule: ribosomal RNA, 261 nt
Filed under: Rhizoctonia solani
Lineage: Eukaryota; Fungi; Basidiomycota; Agaricomycetes; Cantharellales; Ceratobasidiaceae
Description: partial 28S rRNA
Rfam family: Eukaryotic large subunit ribosomal RNA
Source: RNAcentral